ACUAAGCGUACACGGUGGAUGCCCUGGCAGUCAGAGGCGAUGAAGGACGUGCUAAUCUGCGAUAAGCGUCGGUAAGGUGAUAUGAACCGUUAUAACCGGCGAUUUCCGAAUGGGGAAACCCAGUGUGAUUCGUCACACUAUCAUUAACUGAAUCCAUAGGUUAAUGAGGCGAACCGGGGGAACUGAAACAUCUAAGUACCCCGAGGAAAAGAAAUCAACCGAGAUUCCCCCAGUAGCGGCGAGCGAACGGGGAGCAGCCCAGAGCCUGAAUCAGUGUGUGUGUUAGUGGAAGCGUCUGGAAAGGCGCGCGAUACAGGGUGACAGCCCCGUACACAAAAAUGCACAUACUGUGAGCUCGAUGAGUAGGGCGGGACACGUGGUAUCCUGUCUGAAUAUGGGGGGACCAUCCUCCAAGGCUAAAUACUCCUGACUGACCGAUAGUGAACCAGUACCGUGAGGGAAAGGCGAAAAGAACCCCGGCGAGGGGAGUGAAAAAGAACCUGAAACCGUGUACGUACAAGCAGUGGGAGCACGCUUAGGCGUGUGACUGCGUACCUUUUGUAUAAUGGGUCAGCGACUUAUAUUCUGUAGCAAGGUUAACCGAAUAGGGGAGCCGAAGGGAAACCGAGUCUUAACUGGGCGUUAAGUUGCAGGGUAUAGACCCGAAACCCGGUGAUCUAGCCAUGGGCAGGUUGAAGGUUGGGUAACACUAACUGGAGGACCGAACCGACUAAUGUUGAAAAAUUAGCGGAUGACUUGUGGCUGGGGGUGAAAGGCCAAUCAAACCGGGAGAUAGCUGGUUCUCCCCGAAAGCUAUUUAGGUAGCGCCUCGUGAAUUCAUCUCCGGGGGUAGAGCACUGUUUCGGCAAGGGGGUCAUCCCGACUUACCAACCCGAUGCAAACUGCGAAUACCGGAGAAUGUUAUCACGGGAGACACACGGCGGGUGCUAACGUCCGUCGUGAAGAGGGAAACAACCCAGACCGCCAGCUAAGGUCCCAAAGUCAUAGUUAAGUGGGAAACGAUGUGGGAAGGCCCAGACAGCCAGGAUGUUGGCUUAGAAGCAGCCAUCAUUUAAAGAAAGCGUAAUAGCUCACUGGUCGAGUCGGCCUGCGCGGAAGAUGUAACGGGGCUAAACCAUGCACCGAAGCUGCGGCAGCGACGCUUAUGCGUUGUUGGGUAGGGGAGCGUUCUGUAAGCCUGCGAAGGUGUGCUGUGAGGCAUGCUGGAGGUAUCAGAAGUGCGAAUGCUGACAUAAGUAACGAUAAAGCGGGUGAAAAGCCCGCUCGCCGGAAGACCAAGGGUUCCUGUCCAACGUUAAUCGGGGCAGGGUGAGUCGACCCCUAAGGCGAGGCCGAAAGGCGUAGUCGAUGGGAAACAGGUUAAUAUUCCUGUACUUGGUGUUACUGCGAAGGGGGGACGGAGAAGGCUAUGUUGGCCGGGCGACGGUUGUCCCGGUUUAAGCGUGUAGGCUGGUUUUCCAGGCAAAUCCGGAAAAUCAAGGCUGAGGCGUGAUGACGAGGCACUACGGUGCUGAAGCAACAAAUGCCCUGCUUCCAGGAAAAGCCUCUAAGCAUCAGGUAACAUCAAAUCGUACCCCAAACCGACACAGGUGGUCAGGUAGAGAAUACCAAGGCGCUUGAGAGAACUCGGGUGAAGGAACUAGGCAAAAUGGUGCCGUAACUUCGGGAGAAGGCACGCUGAUAUGUAGGUGAAGUCCCUCGCGGAUGGAGCUGAAAUCAGUCGAAGAUACCAGCUGGCUGCAACUGUUUAUUAAAAACACAGCACUGUGCAAACACGAAAGUGGACGUAUACGGUGUGACGCCUGCCCGGUGCCGGAAGGUUAAUUGAUGGGGUUAGCGCAAGCGAAGCUCUUGAUCGAAGCCCCGGUAAACGGCGGCCGUAACUAUAACGGUCCUAAGGUAGCGAAAUUCCUUGUCGGGUAAGUUCCGACCUGCACGAAUGGCGUAAUGAUGGCCAGGCUGUCUCCACCCGAGACUCAGUGAAAUUGAACUCGCUGUGAAGAUGCAGUGUACCCGCGGCAAGACGGAAAGACCCCGUGAACCUUUACUAUAGCUUGACACUGAACAUUGAGCCUUGAUGUGUAGGAUAGGUGGGAGGCUUUGAAGUGUGGACGCCAGUCUGCAUGGAGCCGACCUUGAAAUACCACCCUUUAAUGUUUGAUGUUCUAACGUUGACCCGUAAUCCGGGUUGCGGACAGUGUCUGGUGGGUAGUUUGACUGGGGCGGUCUCCUCCUAAAGAGUAACGGAGGAGCACGAAGGUUGGCUAAUCCUGGUCGGACAUCAGGAGGUUAGUGCAAUGGCAUAAGCCAGCUUGACUGCGAGCGUGACGGCGCGAGCAGGUGCGAAAGCAGGUCAUAGUGAUCCGGUGGUUCUGAAUGGAAGGGCCAUCGCUCAACGGAUAAAAGGUACUCCGGGGAUAACAGGCUGAUACCGCCCAAGAGUUCAUAUCGACGGCGGUGUUUGGCACCUCGAUGUCGGCUCAUCACAUCCUGGGGCUGAAGUAGGUCCCAAGGGUAUGGCUGUUCGCCAUUUAAAGUGGUACGCGAGCUGGGUUUAGAACGUCGUGAGACAGUUCGGUCCCUAUCUGCCGUGGGCGCUGGAGAACUGAGGGGGGCUGCUCCUAGUACGAGAGGACCGGAGUGGACGCAUCACUGGUGUUCGGGUUGUCAUGCCAAUGGCACUGCCCGGUAGCUAAAUGCGGAAGAGAUAAGUGCUGAAAGCAUCUAAGCACGAAACUUGCCCCGAGAUGAGUUCUCCCUGACUCCUUGAGAGUCCUGAAGGAACGUUGAAGACGACGACGUUGAUAGGCCGGGUGUGUAAGCGCAGCGAUGCGUUGAGCUAACCGGUACUAAUGAACCGUGAGGCUUAACC
This 2893-nucleotide ribosomal RNA is filed under the name Escherichia coli. RNAcentral's name for it is "bacterial LSU rRNA". It matches the Rfam family "Bacterial large subunit ribosomal RNA". Lineage: Bacteria; Pseudomonadati; Pseudomonadota; Gammaproteobacteria; Enterobacterales; Enterobacteriaceae. The record is from RNAcentral.